GACGAACGCUGGCGGCGUGCCUAAUACAUGCAAGUAGAACGCUGAAGGAGGAGCUUGCUUCUCUGGAUGAGUUGCGAACGGGUGAGUAACGCGUAGGUAACCUGCCUGGUAGCGGGGGAUAACUAUUGGAAACGAUAGCUAAUACCGCAUAACAGUAGAUGUCGCAUGACAUUUGCUUAAAAGGUGCAAUUGCAUCACUACCAGAUGGACCUGCGUUGUAUUAGCUAGUUGGUGAGGUAACGGCUCACCAAGGCGACGAUACAUAGCCGACCUGAGAGGGUGAUCGGCCACACUGGGACUGAGACACGGCCCAGACUCCUACGGGAGGCAGCAGUAGGGAAUCUUCGGCAAUGGACGGAAGUCUGACCGAGCAACGCCGCGUGAGUGAAGAAGGUUUUCGGAUCGUAAAGCUCUGUUGUAAGAGAAGAACGAGUGUGAGAGUGGAAAGUUCACACUGUGACGGUAUCU
Molecule: ribosomal RNA, 468 nt
Filed under: Streptococcus mitis
Lineage: Bacteria; Bacillati; Bacillota; Bacilli; Lactobacillales; Streptococcaceae
Description: bacterial SSU rRNA
Rfam family: Bacterial small subunit ribosomal RNA
Source: RNAcentral